Molecule: long non-coding RNA, 331 nt
Organism: Archocentrus centrarchus (flier cichlid)
Lineage: Eukaryota; Metazoa; Chordata; Actinopteri; Cichliformes; Cichlidae
Exons: 3
Source: RefSeq, a predicted model, not a curated record
CUUCAUUAGACCUCUUGUCACCUCAUGAGCAGCAAGGAAAAGAAUUUCAAAGUAGCAGCUGAAGUUUCAUGCUUCAGAUCUGUGUAUGAGACCAAAUGAUGGAGUUCUGGCCUGAGAAUCAGGGACAGUCCCAUCUGUACUCCAGAUAUGGUACCGUUCCUGGGAGAAACUGUGCACACAACUAUCAUGACAGACAUCAGCCAACCCAUUAUUCACUGUACUAUGGUGAGCAGCAGGAUCAAAGCAGGGGGUCCACUUACUGGACUGCACCAGGAUCAAGAACAGCAGGAGCUCUACAGGAGUACACCAACUGGACAGACCCAGAGCUCGC